Molecule: ribosomal RNA, 247 nt
Filed under: uncultured bacterium
Lineage: Bacteria
Description: partial 16S ribosomal RNA
Rfam family: Bacterial small subunit ribosomal RNA
Source: RNAcentral
GCAAGUCGAGGGGUAACAGGGAGCUUGCUCCGCUGACGACCGGCGCACGGGUGCGUAACGCGUAUACAAUCUGCCUUACACUGAGGGACAGCCUUUGGAAACGAAGAUUAAUACCCCAUAGUAUCAUUGAAUGGCAUCAUUUAAUGAUUAAAGGUCACGGUGUAAGGUGAGUAUGCGUCCUAUUAGCUUGUUGGUAAGGUAACGGCUUACCAAGGCGACGAUAGGUAGGGGCCCUGAGAGGGGGAUC